AUGAACAAAAUAAAACCAUAUCGAGGUCCUAGUUGUACGAUUUUGGUACGAUGUCCUUCCAACGUGGACUCACGUAGAACAUCACGCCACCACACAAACAUAGUAUAUAGGAUAAAAAUUAGGCCCAAAUGGAGAAGUGUUGCAUCCCCUUGAAAUGAGUGCAUGUACAUCACACCUCCUACGGUGGUUGCCAAAGCUCCGAGUGAACCCAAAAUAGGCCUUGGACUUGGAUCUACCAAAUGAUAAGAAUUCCUCUUAAGAUUCAAUCAUAAACUACUUUGCCAAGGUUGUAUGUAAACCCCCCCACCCCCUAAAGUAGUAAAGAAGGGCUCUUUGGGGUCUAAUUUUUAUAUUCUAUCUGACAGGAAAAACAAAUAGGAAGGGAUGGUUCUUUCAUUGCAUUGAUAGAAGUCUAACUAGAAAAAGAUCUUACUAUUACUAUCAAUUUAGGAAGAGAAUCAGAAUGAAAAGAAGCCCAAAAAAAAGCAAAAAAGAACAUAACCUCCGAUACGAUGAACAGAAUAAAACCAUAUCGAGGUCCUAAUUGUACGAUUUUGGUAUGAUGUCCUUCCAACGUGGACUCACGUAGAACAUCGCGCCACCAUACAAACAUAGUAUAUAGGAUAAAAAUUAGGCCCAAAUGGAGAAGUGUUGCACCCCCUUGAAAUGAGUGCAUGUACAUCACACCUCCUACGGUGGUUGCCAAAGCUCCGAGUGAACCCAAAAUAGGCCUUGGACUUGGAUCUACCAAAUGAUAAGAAUUCCUCUUAAGAUUCAAUCAUAAACUACUUUGCCAAGGUUGUAUGUAAACCCCCCCACCCCCUAAAGUAGUAAAGAAGGGCUCUUUGGGGUCUAAUUUUUAUCCUAUAUCUGACAGGACAAACAAAUAGGAAGGGAUGGUUCUUUCAUUGCAUUGAUAGAAGUCUAACUAGAAAAAGAUCUUACUAUCAAUUCAAAAAGAUCUCUCUAUUACUAUCAAUUUAGGAAGAGAAUCGUUGGGUUAACCGACGAACUACAUGGGAGGAUCUUCUUUCUUUUCUUUUUCCAAGACAAGCCCUUAGAAAACACUCACUUACGCCCAUCUGUCGGAUCCUAGCUACCCUUUUGUAACCAAGAAGAAGUCUUCUCUCGUUGACAACCCUGAUGCUACACGUGUGUCAUAUAUACGGAUGCAACAUGUGAAUGAACAUAUGAACAUGUUACAACAGUGGUAGCUUGAACAAACAACAAUGUAUCCCUUCUCUAAUAGCACGUCUCAUUCAUGUUCAAAGCAGCAAGAUAUAACAAGUUUCAUGCUCAAUCAGUAGUAAGUUUACUUCAUCCCCGGAGACCGGUCCAGUAGAGGACCCUUUAGGCGGAAACUACUAUGUUAUCGUGCAUUCUUCAUUCGCAUGAAAGUAUGAAUAUAAGCAAGCUUUCUUAUUCGAAAAAGAGCUAUGGAAGUUUUGUCGGUGUUCUUUCAUCUGUUAUAUAAGAUAUUUCGAAAUUUACAAUCAUGUGACUCGCCCAACCUAUACAAGGGGCUUUCAUCAGUAUUUUGUUGAAGGAUAAACCCUACUAAGGAAAGGAUGAUCUAUAGCUACUCCUAACCCUUAGCCGCCUCGACUGUUCGAAAGACUAACAAGUGGAGGAGGGAGUUCCAAAGCAACUGUGACUCAUGCGGCAGACAAAUUUAUUUCGACUCAUUGAAUGCUAGAAAAUACGCUUCUUUUGUCAGUUAGGUUAGGUGCGAAAGCCCAAAAAUAGGCCUUGGACUUGGAUCUACCAAAUGAUAAGAAUUCCUCUUAAGAUUCAAUCAUAAACUACUUUGCCAAGGUUGUAUGUAAACCCCCCCACCCCCUAAAGUAGUAAAGAAGGGCUCUUUGGGGUCUAAUUUUUUCGAUAGAUAGCAGGUUGCUUCCAAGCUCAAACCAUUUGAAACAACAAGCAACGGAUAAGCUUGAAAGAGGGAGCGGGGAAGGAAGAACAGCCGUUUUACUUUGGCACAUGAGGUGGCGGGUUUGGCUAGGUAACAUAAUGGAAAUGUAUCAGACUGCGAAUGCUAACAGUAUCGAAGCGCACCAAGAGAUUCCCGGUCGAACAAAUUUCGUAUAUAAAAAAAAAGAUGUGUUUUGUCCGUCCUCUUUUUUUUUAUUUAAAAAGAAAGAAAAAACGCUUCUUUUGUCAGUUAGGUUAGGUGCGAAAGCCCAUUAUGGGGGUUGUGUAUAGUGGAUGUUGUGGCUAGGGGGGUACUGUCUUGGUUCAAAUGAAUGCAUCUGAGUUAGCAAGCAGGUGGGGUACAAGAGAAAAAGAAUGUGAUCUUUAGGCUCUGAGUGAGCUAGGCGGUCAUUCUCCUACUCCUUUGAAUGUCUGCUCCUCAUAUGGAAAAUAGGAUGUCGGACUUAGAAUCUGCUUAUUCAAUAUCUUGUCCAGAGUAAAAUAUCACUACACCGGGGUUGUUGGCUUUCACGAAGCAAGACGGAUUUAUAAGAGCGCUACGCUAAUCAUCACCAUUGAGUGUUGGAGCAAUAAUUCUAUGAAAAGGGGAGUUAGACUUUCUAAAAAGCAACUGAAAUCGAGUACAUCAAAUCGAGAGAUCUUCGGAUUUUCGGUCUAUAGGUCGCGCAUUAGUCCCAUAUAUUCCCAUCGAUACAAAAUUAGGAAAUGAUUUGUUGCAAUCUUUGCUUUGGCUGUGGAAGGGGAAAGACUCGUUGCCCUACUGUUAGCUUUGUAAAGUAGUACUCAUAGGGUAAGGACAGGUGGCAUAGCGCAGUCCUAAUCGAUGUGGUGUCCAGUCACAAUCUAGAGAAUAAGAAGAUUCUUCUUUUCUUACAGAUUUUUAACGUCGCAGAGAUAGAACAUCUCGUUCUACUUUAUGUCUUACCUAGGGGCCUUGCCUUGGUGGUCUCAUUUAAUUAGUACGCCCACGUGACAAAAAGAGCAUCUGAAAAGGAGAGAAAGUCCCCCUCCUAUUGAAGCUGUUCAAAGGGGAAGCUCGCCCCUGUCACUGCUUUCUUCCCCUAUCCCUAAACAAAUAGUCAGAAUAGUGACUAGUCUCAGUCCUACUUACAUCCAUUGCUCCUUCCUCUGCUUCUCCCCUUUCUCUUCUGCCUGCAGAGAUAAUCUUUUUUCUGUGUUUUCAAACCAGCAUUUGUCAUCGGAUGAUCACCCCGGUUAAUAUAUGCAUUAACCCAUUGGUUUUCACAUUUAACUAGUGUGCCCGCGUGACAAAAAGAGCAUCUGAAAAGGAGAGAAGUCCCCCUCCUAUUGAAGCUGUUAAAAGGGGAAGCUCGCCCCUGUCACUACUUUCUUCCCCUAUCCCUAAACAAAUAGUCAGAAUAGUGACUAGUCUCAGUCCUACUUACAUCCCUUGCUCCUUCCUCUGGUUCUCCCCUUUCUCAUUUGCCAACAUAGAUCAUGUUUUUCUGUGUUUUCAAACCAACAUUUGUCAUCGGAUGAUCACCCCGGUUAAUAUAUGCAUUAACCCAUUGGUUUUCGACCAUGGGGUCGCCUUCCUCCUCCGGAU
RNAcentral lists this long non-coding RNA (3505 nucleotides) under Linum usitatissimum (flax). Its description in RNAcentral is "long non-coding RNA (LUSI_LNC007285)". The record is from RNAcentral. Lineage: Eukaryota; Viridiplantae; Streptophyta; Magnoliopsida; Malpighiales; Linaceae.